This 453-nucleotide ribosomal RNA is filed under the name Salmonella enterica. RNAcentral's name for it is "bacterial SSU rRNA". It matches the Rfam family "Bacterial small subunit ribosomal RNA", at positions 1069 to 1522 of the family's 1533-position model. The record is from RNAcentral. Lineage: Bacteria; Pseudomonadati; Pseudomonadota; Gammaproteobacteria; Enterobacterales; Enterobacteriaceae.
GAAAUGUUGGGUUAAGUCCCGCAACGAGCGCAACCCUUAUCCUUUGUUGCCAGCGAUUAGGUCGGGAACUCAAAGGAGACUGCCAGUGAUAAACUGGAGGAAGGUGGGGAUGACGUCAAGUCAUCAUGGCCCUUACGACCAGGGCUACACACGUGCUACAAUGGCGCAUACAAAGAGAAGCGACCUCGCGAGAGCAAGCGGACCUCAUAAAGUGCGUCGUAGUCCGGAUUGGAGUCUGCAACUCGACUCCAUGAAGUCGGAAUCGCUAGUAAUCGUGGAUCAGAAUGCCACGGUGAAUACGUUCCCGGGCCUUGUACACACCGCCCGUCACACCAUGGGAGUGGGUUGCAAAAGAAGUAGGUAGCUUAACCUUCGGGAGGGCGCUUACCACUUUGUGAUUCAUGACUGGGGUGAAGUCGUAACAAGGUAACCGUAGGGGAACCUGCGGUUGGA